This 151-nucleotide long non-coding RNA is filed under the name Monodelphis domestica (gray short-tailed opossum). RNAcentral's name for it is "lncRNA (ENSMODG00000037085.1)". Lineage: Eukaryota; Metazoa; Chordata; Mammalia; Didelphimorphia; Didelphidae. The record is from RNAcentral.
UCAGAGCCAACUCCCCGGUCACCUGCUCCAAGCGAGGAAGCUCCAGAGAGACCCCGGUUCUCUCAGCCGACUUUCCUAUCAGGAAAUUCUCUUUAAGUCACCCACAGAUCACUCUUUCCUUCUCUGCUUAAAGGAGCCGAGUCUGCCGCAU